RNAcentral lists this ribosomal RNA (376 nucleotides) under uncultured bacterium. RNAcentral describes it as "bacterial SSU rRNA". It matches the Rfam family "Bacterial small subunit ribosomal RNA", at positions 524 to 898 of the family's 1533-position model. The record is from RNAcentral.
UACAGAGGGGGCAAGCGUUAUUCGGAAUUAUUGGGCGUAAAGGGCGCGUAGGCGGUUUUUUAAGUAGGAUGUGUAAUCCCCGGGCUUAACCUGGGAACUGCAUCCUAGACUGGAAGGCUAGAGUACUGGAGAGGGUGGUAGAAUUCCACGUGUAGCGGUGAAAUGCGUAGAGAUGUGGAGGAAUACCAGUGGCGAAGGCGGCCACCUGGACAGUAACUGACGCUGAUGCGCGAAAGUGUGGGUAGCAAACAGGAUUAGAUACCCUGGUAGUCCACGCUGUAAACGAUGAACACUUGGUGUGGUGAGAGUUGACCCUCGCCGUGCCGGAGCUAACGCGUUAAGUGUUCCGCCUGGGGAGUACGGUCGCAAGGCUGAA